This 237-nucleotide ribosomal RNA is filed under the name uncultured eukaryote. RNAcentral describes it as "partial 18S ribosomal RNA". It matches the Rfam family "Eukaryotic small subunit ribosomal RNA", at positions 306 to 543 of the family's 1831-position model. The record is from RNAcentral.
UCUGCCCUAUCAACUUUCGAUGGUAGGAUAGUGGCCUACCAUGGUUUUAACGGGUAACGGGGAAUUAGGGUUCUAUUCCGGAGAGGGAGCCUGAGAAACGGCUACCACAUCCAAGGAAGGCAGCAGGCGCGCAAAUUACCCAAUCCCGAUACGGGGAGGUAGUGACAAUAAAUACCGAUACGGGGCUCUUUUGGGUCUUGUAAUUGGAAUGAGUACAAUCUAAAUCCCUAACGAGAA